This 207-nucleotide non-coding RNA is filed under the name Secundilactobacillus silagei. RNAcentral describes it as "Lactobacillus silagei T-box sequence". It matches the Rfam family "T-box leader". Rfam says of the family: Uncharged tRNA acts as the effector for transcription antitermination of genes in the T-box leader family. T-boxes are found upstream of many aminoacyl-tRNA synthetase genes and some amino acid biosynthetic genes usually in Gram-positive bacteria. Lineage: Bacteria; Bacillati; Bacillota; Bacilli; Lactobacillales; Lactobacillaceae. The record is from RNAcentral.
AUGACAGCUAUGAAUCACCGAAGUAGGUCAAAGGGCAACGAUAAAGAAACUUGACGGUUGCUGCAAGUCAAGCGUCCCAACUGACUGAAUUACAGUGUGGAGCGACCCAGCAGAUUGCUGGCGGGUCAUGCCGAUAUCCAUGUCGAGCGACGUUAUCAUAAUAUAACGUAACUUGGGUGGUAACGCGGAAUUAAUUUCGUCCCUAUU